RNAcentral lists this ribosomal RNA (273 nucleotides) under uncultured Actinomycetes bacterium. RNAcentral describes it as "uncultured actinobacterium partial 16S ribosomal RNA". It matches the Rfam family "Bacterial small subunit ribosomal RNA", at positions 524 to 796 of the family's 1533-position model. The record is from RNAcentral. Lineage: Bacteria; Bacillati; Actinomycetota; Actinomycetes.
UACGAAGGGGGCUAGCGUUGCUCGGAAUCACUGGGCGUAAAGGGCGCGUAGGCGGCCAUUCAAGUCGGGUGUGAAAACUCGUGGCUUAACCACGAGCCCGCAUUCGAUACUGCAUGGCUAGAGUCCGGUAGGGGGGUCUGGAACUCCUGGUGUAGCGGUGGAAUGCGCAGAUAUCAGGAAGAACACCGGUGGCGAAGGCGGGACCCUGGGCCGGUACUGACGCUGAGGAGCGAAAGCGUGGGGAGCAAACAGGAUUAGAUACCCGAGUAGUCC